UACGUAGGUGGCAAGCGUUAUCCGGAUUUAUUGGGCGUAAAGGGAACGCGGGCGGUCUUUUAAGUCUGAUGUGAAAGCCUUCGGCUUAACCGGAGUAGUGCAUUGGAAACUGGGAGACUUGAGUGCAGAAGAGGAGAGUGGAACUCCAUGUGUAGCGGUGAAAUGCGUAGAUAUUAGGAGGAACACCAGUGGCGAAGGCGGCUUACUGGACAGUAACUGACGUUGAGGCUCGAAAGCGUGGGGAGCAAACAGG
Molecule: ribosomal RNA, 253 nt
Filed under: uncultured bacterium
Lineage: Bacteria
Description: partial 16S ribosomal RNA
Rfam family: Bacterial small subunit ribosomal RNA
Source: RNAcentral